UGAGGUUUUACUGUUUGAAGUUUCAUCCUGUCCGUCAGAUUGUUCCAGGAUUAACUUUGCCAAAGUAUUUAAAUCAAUGGGACAGUCAAAUACAGGUGUGUGGACAAAGAGGAGAGAUCUGGGCCUGCUGCCUGCCUGCUAACCAAAUYACCUCAGAUAUAUUUUUCUGACAGAUGCAGCAACAAAGUGCACUAUGAAUUAAAGAGAAAAUGGACAAAAGGUGGCUGGAAGACAGUAGGUGAUAUUUAAUCCAUUCUCACCAAAUCAUCUUUUAAGAGAAAAAAAAA
This 287-nucleotide long non-coding RNA is filed under the name Dromaius novaehollandiae (emu). RNAcentral describes it as "lncRNA (ENSDNVG00000005040.1)". Lineage: Eukaryota; Metazoa; Chordata; Aves; Casuariiformes; Dromaiidae. The record is from RNAcentral.